GUGAUAUUAACAUCUGGGCAAGAACCAGAAAUCUACAGGUUUAUAUGUAAUGUAUGCACUAUAUAUACAAAGUUUAAAGAAAAGGCAAAAUUACAACUUUGAAACAGUUGAGGAUAAACCAGCUAAACCCAUAAGCCUGCUUUUUCAUACAAAGUUUAGUUCUUGUUUGAAGGAAAAAUAUGGUUUUAAGUUGGGGAUUAUUGAUACCUGCUGGUGCUAUUAGAAAUAGUAGUAUUCUGUGGACUUUGUCUUCUCUUUUCUCUCCAACUCUCUCCCCACUUCCUGGCCUCUGCUACUGCGCAAUCUCGAUCUAAAUCCUUCCCUAUAGUCACUGCAGCUACACUAGGAGGGAAAUCAAUCUCAGGACAUUUCUUCUUGGAUUUCCUAUGGGACACCAAGUAAUCCAUGGCAUUCACCAACUCACUUGAUGAAGGUCGUCUAUUGGCAUUCUCAUUCAGGCAUGUUGAUGCUACCUCUAUAGCCUUGUUAAACACAGAUAUUGAGAACUGACCUCUCAGCAAUGGAUCUGCUAAUUUUAAGUAGUUUCCACCGUCUUUCAUCAAGGGAAGUGCCCAAUGAAUCAGAUGUAUUUUGCGACCAUCAAAUUCGUCCACUGCUCUACGUCCUGUAAUUAGCUCUAACAAGACUACCCCAAAGCUGUAAAUGUCAGUCUUCAUUGUCAAUCUUCCAGUUGAGGCAUACUCAGGAGCACAGUAACCAUAUGUGCCCAUCACCCUGGUGGAGACAUGAGAUGUAUCCCCCAUUGGACCAAACUUUGCAAGUCCAAAAUCUGAGAGUUUUGUCUGGAAUCCCUCAUCCAAUAAUAUGUUUGAUGCCUUUAAGUCCCUGUAUAUAACAGGAGGAUUCGCGUUGUGCAGAUAGUCCAAUCCCUUGGCUGCCCCAGCAGCUAUUUGCAUCCUUGUGUUCCAGUCAAGAGGCUCCAUAUCAGGCGUAACAUCAAAAAGGUGAUCUUCCAAGGAUCCCAUGGACAAGUAUUCAUAGACAAGAAGGCGUUGUUGUCCUUCCGCACAGAAUCCAAUCAAGUUGACAAGGUUAGGGUGAUGCAGUAGAGUAAGCAUGAGAACUUCAACCAGGAACUCCUUUUCUCCUUGGAUACCUGAUAGAUCUAGCUGCUUAACUGCUACAACCUAUUAUUUACCAUAUCAGAUGGGGCUUAAUCCAUCAAUUAACGUGAAAAUUGCAACGACAAAGACCAUGAAAUAUUCAGAGAGGACAUAAGAAAGAAAAAAGUCUCUAUUUGAAGAAGAAUGAACCCUUUUACCUGACUAGUGCUUUCCAAUUUCCCUUUAUAAACAGCACCAAAACCACCGCUGCCAAGAAAUGAAUCUGGGUGAAAAUUAUUUGUUGCAAUUGCAAGUUCUUCAUAGGUGAAUGUGGGAGCCAAAUUAGAAGGUUUAUCCCUAUGUCCUGGAGCUGAUGGUUCUUGCCUACAAUCCGCAUUAACUUUUGAUCUUGACCCUGACUUUGAACCACUCCCUGAUGCUGCUGCUGCUGACCCUGAUCUUGAUUCAUAAGAUGGUUCUUUAUUGCUAAUGUUGUUCUUGAGCUUCUUCCUAUUAAAAAAACCAAAACAGGGGCAAUGACCCAUUUCCAGAAACAAGGGAAAUCGAUGAUAGAGAAAGAGAAUAUGAAUAUCUAUAAGGGAAAAGAAAAGAAAAGAAAAAAGUCAAACAAUUUUUGAGCUCAAACACACGCAUUAGUAGGAUAAUCUGUUUCCCAUUCUCAUUAAAUAACUCAGCAUUGCAAUACACCAAAGAGAUGAGCAUAUAAGAGAUGGGAAAGCAGAACAAAUAAUGAGCACAUAGAAUCAAAUACAAGUUGCUGAUAUCUGAAAAGACAAAUCAAGAAAAUAACAUCCCAGACAGAUACAUACAUAUUACUUCCUUGCUUCAAGAUU
RNAcentral lists this unclassified non-coding RNA (1918 nucleotides) under Hevea brasiliensis (rubber tree). The record is from RNAcentral. Lineage: Eukaryota; Viridiplantae; Streptophyta; Magnoliopsida; Malpighiales; Euphorbiaceae.